This 2370-nucleotide long non-coding RNA is filed under the name Gossypium barbadense (sea-island cotton). RNAcentral's name for it is "long non-coding RNA (GBAR_LNC016824)". The record is from RNAcentral. Lineage: Eukaryota; Viridiplantae; Streptophyta; Magnoliopsida; Malvales; Malvaceae.
GCGGAUCCUCUAGCGGGUCGGGUCGGAUGGGUCGGGCAUGGCCAAAACGACGUCGUUUUGGGGCUUAAGUGUAGCCCCCAAAACGACGUCGUUUUGGAGGGCUAUAUAAGGCCUAAACUAACCAAAAAAAAAUCAUUUGGGGAGAGGGAAAGAAAAAAAAAAAGAGAGAGGGAAGAGAGAAGGGAGAGAGAAGGGAGGGGAAUCCGGCCAGGGGCCGGUCACCGGACGGCCACCGGAGGCUUGCCGGCGCCGGCGCCGGCCACCGCACGAGGUGGCCGGAAAAGGUAAAAAAAAUUUUUUUUUGUUUUUUUUUUAUUUGUUGUAUAUUUUUAUGUUAAAUAGAUAGAAAAUAAAGAAAUAUAUGUAUAUGUAUAUAAAAAUCGAAAGGAAAAAAGAAAAAAAUACAACCUUUUGUUUUUUCUUUUUGUUUUUAACAAUCACUGCUAUCUGUUUAUUGAAGACUGUAAAUUUCUCUUUAGUGUUUACAAAGUAGAAAAGAAGAAGAAAGAAAAAAAAAAGCCCCCCGUACAAUUUUUGAUUCGUGUUUUUAUAACCCAUUUUCAUCUAAUUUCCUAUUGUUUCUGUUUUGUCUCUUUGCAUGGGAUGGGCACGAUGGAGGUGACAGAGGCAUGGGGUGCAGACGGUGAUGGGCAUGCGUGGAUCCUCUAGCGGGUCGGGUCGGAUGGGUCGGGCAUGGCCAAAACGACGUCGUUUUGGGGCUUAAGUGUAGCCCCCAAAACGACGUCGUUUUGGAGGGCUAUAUAAGGCCUAAACUAACCAAAAAAAAAUCAUUUGGGGAGAGGGAAAGAAAAAAAAAAAGAGAGAGGGAAGAGAGAAGGGAGAGAGAAGGGAGGGGAAUCCGGCCAGGGGCCGGUCACCGGACGGCCACCGGAGGCUUGCCGGCGCCGGCGCCGGCCACCGCACGAGGUGGCCGGAAAAGGUAAAAAAAAUUUUUUUUGUUUUUUUUUUAUUUGUUGUAUAUUUUUAUGUUAAAUAGAUAGAAAAUAAAGAAAUAUAUGUAUAUGUAUAUAAAAAUCGAAAGGAAAAAAGAAAAAAAUACAACCUUUUGUUUUUUCUUUUUGUUUUUAACAAUCACUGCUAUCUGUUUAUUGAAGACUGUAAAUUUCUCUUUAGUGUUUACAAAGUAGAAAAGAAGAAGAAAGAAAAAAAAAAGCCCCCCGUACAAUUUUUGAUUCGUGUUUUUAUAACCCAUUUUCAUCUAAUUUCCUAUUGUUUCUGUUUUGUCUCUUUGCAUGGGAUGGGCACGAUGGAGGUGACAGAGGCAUGGGGUGCAGACGGUGAUGGGCAUGCGUGGAGGCUGGCGCGGAGCAGAGGCGUGCGAGGUUGAGUGGUUGCGCACAUGGGGCAACGGCGCAAGUGGGCAAGUGGGGGGGUUUGCUGGUAUGGGCCCGGGCAGAUUUUGGGCUUUACAAAUAGCACUUAUUAUGUUUGGUUAAACCAAGUCUUAAUUUUGUUAGUAUUGAUAUUAUUCUCAAUUUAGAGGAUGCGGAUCUGAGUACAUUGAAGUGCGUUUAUCCUCCUAAUUAAGGACCGUGGAAGGGUUAUGGGCAGUUCUGGACAUUAUAUCAAAAAAUAUUUGUUCGAUUAACUUCAAUUACUAGUCAUGUACUACGUGCACAGUUGUAGAUUUAGUCUAUAUUCUUUAAUUGGAUCUUUCUAAGUCUAUACUUUUCGAAUUUUGAAAUAUCAAUCUUGACUAAAUGAUAGUCGUUAAUCUAUUAACUGAAUUUUUAGUUAGAAAUAUGUAAAAAUAACAAGCUGCCAUAGUAUUACACAUAUGAUAAUAUGUUUGCCAUAUUAAAAUUUGAAAAUAAUAAAACUUAACUGAACAAAUUUAAUAAUUAUUAUUUGAUGAGGUGUAAAAUUUGAAAAUUUAAAAAGCGAAUAAAAUAAAAAUACUUAUAUAUAGUAGAGAUCUAAUGACACUAACAUCCUCGUUGGUUGAUAGACAAGUGUCCCAGAUAUCACAGUAAACAACCAACACCAUUUGCAAAACAAGACGUAAUGUCACAACCAUUGUGCCACCAUGAUUGAUUACUACAUUUAAACUCAAAAAUUUCCUGGCUUUCGUUUGUUUCCAUGGAUGUAGGCUACAGGGUUGUGUUAGACACGGGAGCGACCCUAGUACACAGGGUCUAAAAAUGAACCAUUUCCCAACCUUUUGUGUAGUGCCCCGGGGACAUGUGGCCAACUAGUAGUGGCCUAGCGGUAGGUCCCUAAGCCAUUGGCUAUAUUGAACUGUAGUUAAAGGGCAGUGGACAGAUAGCAGGUGACUAGGUGAAGGUACCAUGAACAUUGAUAUUCAGACAAACAAUCAUGCUUUUGUCCUUUCUACGUGGCGGUUUAACA